GCUACUGCACCUAUUGUGUGUCGCGAUCUCGCUCUCCGCUUCCCGCUCGGGUGUCUGUGGAGGAAGGCUACGUUUCAUUGCCGCCUCGGCUUAACCCCUCCGGUGCCUAACAGGACAGUAAGCCGGCUCCCUGGGAUCAGGAAAAACUCCUGGGAGCUGAAGAACUCGGGUAACAAGACCCUAGGGUGCAAAAAAGUCAGUUGAAGAAGGAGCACGAGUGCUAGGGCUCGGCACUCCAGCUUUGCUGGGGUGGGGCAGAGGCGCUGGCUUUAAGAAGGGGGAGGGGAGAGUGCAAUCUGGAUUGCCCGCGGACUUCGGCAAAGGAAAUCUGCGAGCUCGGAAGCGAGGAGCAGGGAGGAGAGAGGAGGGGCGGCUCCCAUCCCCAGCUCCCGCCCCCGCCUACACCCUGGGAGGGCUGAAGUAUUCACGUUUGCACUUAGAAGGAUCCCUCCCGUCUCUGGUGGCGAGCUGGGCUGCGGUUUCUGCUGCCGGUCUGGGGAGGUGAUGCCUAGGGGGUAUGCUGAUUGCUAAGCAGCACCCCGCUGGGAUCCGACUGCUUUAGUUACCUUUCCAGGUCACCUGAAGCAAUCCUAGGAUCGCCCGUUUCCGGUUCAGACCAGCCAGGUCUCCCCAGGAAUCUCAUCAGAACAGAACCAUGGGGCAUCCCCCUCUGGAGUUCAGGGACUGCUAUCUGGACAGUCCCAAUUUUCGCGAGAGGCUCAAGUGUUAUGAGCAGGAGCUGGAGAGGACCAAUAAAUUCAUCAAAGACGUGAUCAAAGACGGCAACGCGCUAAUCAGCGCAAUGAGAAUGGUUUUCUGUUUCUGAAUAUGCAUAGAAAGCCCAAAAGAAGACAAGUAGGAAAUAAAACCAAGAAGCUAACCCAUACUCCAUUUCUUUCCUGUAAGUUGCAUGAUUCUAAA
This is a long non-coding RNA of Myotis davidii, 921 nucleotides long. RefSeq lists it as uncharacterized. The transcript is spliced from 3 exons. Lineage: Eukaryota; Metazoa; Chordata; Mammalia; Chiroptera; Vespertilionidae. The record is from RefSeq and is a predicted model, not a curated record.